UACGAAGGGGGCGAGCGUUGUUCGGAAUUACUGGGCGUAAAGGGCGCGUAGGCGGCCCCUUUUGUCGCGUGUGAAAGCCCCGGGCUCAACCUGGGAAGUGCGCGCGAAACGGGGGGGCUUGAGUUCGGGAGAGGAGAGUGGAAUUCCCAGUGUAGAGGUGAAAUUCGUAGAUAUUGGGAAGAACACCGGUGGCGAAGGCGGCUCUCUGGACCGAGACUGACGCUGAGGCGCGAAAGCGUGGGGAGCAAACAGG
RNAcentral lists this ribosomal RNA (253 nucleotides) under uncultured bacterium. RNAcentral's name for it is "partial 16S ribosomal RNA". It matches the Rfam family "Bacterial small subunit ribosomal RNA", at positions 524 to 776 of the family's 1533-position model. The record is from RNAcentral.